RNAcentral lists this ribosomal RNA (440 nucleotides) under uncultured bacterium. RNAcentral's name for it is "partial 16S ribosomal RNA". It matches the Rfam family "Bacterial small subunit ribosomal RNA", at positions 338 to 795 of the family's 1533-position model. The record is from RNAcentral.
CCUACGGGAGGCAGCAGUGGGGAAUAUUGCACAAUGGGGGGAACCCUGAUGCAGCGACGCCGCGUGAGUGAAGAAGUAUUUCGGUAUGUAAAGCUCUAUCAGCAGGGGAGAAAAUGACGGUACGUGAGUAAGAAGCCCCGGCUAACUACGUGCCAGCAGCGGCGGUAAUACGUAGGGUGCAAGCGUUAUCCGGAUUUACUGAGUGUAAAGGGAGCGUAGACGGCUGAGAAAGUCAGAAGUGAAAGUGUGCGGCUCAACCGCAGGACUGCGUUGGAAACUGGCCGGCUAGAGUGCUGGAGAGGUAAGCGGAAUUCGUAGUGUAGCGGUGAAAUGCUUAGAUAUCAGGAGGAACUCCGGUGGCGAAGGCGGCCUACUAAACGGUGACUGACGCUGAGGCUCGAAAGCGUGGGGAGCAAACAGGAUUAGAUACCCUAGUAGUC